This 292-nucleotide ribosomal RNA is filed under the name uncultured bacterium. RNAcentral describes it as "partial 16S ribosomal RNA". It matches the Rfam family "Bacterial small subunit ribosomal RNA", at positions 505 to 796 of the family's 1533-position model. The record is from RNAcentral.
GUGUCAGCAGCCGCGGUAAUACAGAGGCCUCGAGCGUUAGGCGGAAUCACUGGGCUUAAAGCGUGUGUAGGUGGAUGCCUAAGUGCCUUGUGAAAUCCCAUGGCUUAACCAUGGAAUUGCUGGGCAUACUGGGUGUCUUGAGCCACUCAGGGGCUACCGGAACAAGCGGUGGAGCGGUGAAAUGCGUAGAUAUCGCUUGGAACGCCAAUGGUGAAAACAGGUAGCUGGGGGUGUGCUGACACUGAGACACGAAAGCCAGGGGAGCGAACGGGAUUAGAUACCCCUGUAGUCC